Molecule: transfer RNA, 72 nt
Filed under: Loxodonta africana (African savanna elephant)
Lineage: Eukaryota; Metazoa; Chordata; Mammalia; Proboscidea; Elephantidae
Rfam family: tRNA
About the family: Transfer RNA (tRNA) molecules are approximately 80 nucleotides in length.
Source: Rfam by way of RNAcentral
GCCCUGAGGGCCUAGCAGUUAAGCACUCGGCUGCCAACCGAAAGAUUGGUGGUUCGAACCCACCUGUCGGCU